RNAcentral lists this ribosomal RNA (429 nucleotides) under Gemmatimonadota bacterium. RNAcentral's name for it is "Gemmatimonadetes bacterium partial 16S ribosomal RNA". It matches the Rfam family "Bacterial small subunit ribosomal RNA", at positions 355 to 776 of the family's 1533-position model. Lineage: Bacteria; Pseudomonadati; Gemmatimonadota. The record is from RNAcentral.
UAGGGAAUCUUCGGCAAUGGACGAAAGUCUGACCGAGCAACGCCGCGUGAGUGAAGAAGGUUUUCGGAUCGUAAAACUCUGUUGUUAGAGAAGAACAAGGACGUUAGUAACUGAACGUCCCCUGACGGUAUCUAACCAGAAAGCCACGGCUAACUACGUGCCAGCAGCCGCGGUAAUACGUAGGUGGCAAGCGUUGUCCGGAUUUAUUGGGCGUAAAGCGAGCGCAGGCGGUUUCUUAAGUCUGAUGUGAAAGCCCCCGGCUCAACCGGGGAGGGUCAUUGGAAACUGGGAGACGUGAGUGCAGAAGAGGAGAGUGGAAUUCCAUGUGUAGCGGUGAAAUGCGUAGAUAUAUGGAGAAAAACCAGUGGCGAAGGCGGCUCUCUGGUCUGUAACUGACGAUGAGGCUCGAAAGCGUGGGCAGCAAACAGG